Molecule: ribosomal RNA, 546 nt
Filed under: Extubocellulus spinifer
Lineage: Eukaryota; Bacillariophyta; Thalassiosirophyceae; Cymatosirales; Cymatosiraceae
Description: partial Bacterial small subunit ribosomal RNA
Rfam family: Bacterial small subunit ribosomal RNA
Source: RNAcentral
GUAAAGCGUCUGUAGGUGGUUUAUUAAGUCUGUUGUUAAAAACUGAAGCUCAACUUCAGGGGUGCGACGGAAACUGAUAAACUUGAGUAUGGUAGGGGUAGGAGGAAUUUCUAGUGUAGCGGUGAAAUGCGUAGAUAUCAGAAGGAACAUCAGUGGCGAAGGCGACUCCCUGGCCAAAGACUGACGCUCAUGUGCGAAAGUGUGGGUAGCGAACAGGAUUAGAUACCCUGGUAGUCCACACCGUAAACGCUGUCUACUAGCUGUUUGUGGAUUUAAUCCGUGGGUAGCGAAGCUAACGCGAUAAGUAGACCGCCUGGGGAGUACGGCCGCAAGGUUAAAACUCAAAUGAAUUGACGGGGGCCCGCACAAGCGGUGGAGCAUGUGGUUUAAUUCGAUUCAACGCGAAGAACCUUACCUACUCUUGACAUACUAGAAACUUUUCAGAGAUGAAUUGGUGCCUUCGGGAAUCUAGAUACAGGUGCUGCAUGGCUGUCGUCAGCUCGUGUCGUGAGAUGUUGGGUUAAGUCCCGCAACGAGCGCAACCCU